Oncorhynchus tshawytscha (Chinook salmon) is the source of this 2897-nucleotide long non-coding RNA. The record is from Ensembl. Lineage: Eukaryota; Metazoa; Chordata; Actinopteri; Salmoniformes; Salmonidae.
CAAGCUUUAGAGAAUUGUAUGUGCGUAGGCAACUUUGAUAAAUGAGGCCCCAGAAAAAGUGGGCAAGAGUUGGCAUUGCUUUACUUUUUUUUCCUUCCAGGCAGGCUUGUGUUUUAGUGUAGAGGUAAAAAUGAUAGAAUGAACUCACACAAAUAAUAACUUACAAUAAUUGUUUACCUUAAAACAAUCUACGAAGCUUGGGGUUGAUCUUUCAUUGACGAAGUGUACAUUUUGUCUAAAACCUUAAUGACCUGAACAAUGAAACCACACAUAGGGUGGGGUUCAUUGCAAUAGUUCCAUCUAGCGUACUAUUGGAGAACAACACUUGCUCAAAUGCGUGAGAGCAUGUUCUAUUAAAUCGCUUUUCUUAAUUCUCUGUGAUUUUGAAAUUUAGAUCAUAUUUGUUAAACACAUUUUCGAGAAAUAAACGUUUCUUACAAUGACGAUGAAACGCUUUAAAUUGAUCACGUGUGUCCACAAGUUCCAGUCCUUGUCAGCUGAGAUCCAAUUUCACGAUAUGCGCUGUCAAUUGUCAACGCAACCUUUUCUAUAGUGGAUGUUCUUUACUGCGAAACGAAUGUAAGUUAGAAUAUAUGUCCUGCUCACUAUUGAAAUUAAGUUGAUAACGAACGUUUAGAAGUAAAACAGUCUAGCGUAGCCGACCACACACUCCUCUAAAACGUGACUUUUCUGUGGGCGACUGUUGCAACCACCAAAUAUUGAUUUCAAGCCCCGGAAUAUAGGCAAAUUUCCCGGAUAUCAAAGCUGAUUGAUGAAUGUUUUUUUAAUCACCUGUUGCGCAUGGAAUCUAACAAUAACACUUUGCCCAGGUGAGGUUGGAUCUGGCCUGCUACUUUGGACACAAAGAUGUUGUGGAGGAGCUACUCAAGGAAGUAGUUAUUUUUCUGUUGCGAUACCUGUGCCACUAUCAUCUACGGGACAGCCCAGGUCCCUAAAUCUGUCUACGAGGAUAAUGAGACCAUCGCCAUGCACGAGGCUGCAGAGAUCAGAGAGGAGAAGAGGAAGGAAGCGAAGCUUCUGGGGGUGGACAGAGAGGGAGACAUCUUCAGCCUGUCUCAGCUGGUCAGCAUCUGAUCAUCCCUGGCCCUCCACUGAACCUCUCAACCUCAAGCUCUGCAAGAUGAGGCCUCCAGACAUCCACUGUAGAGACCUGCCUACAGGGGGCAGAAGCAGUGUGUGAGAAAGAUGCUCAAGUCUGGAGCCAGCCCCAGCAUCAAGAAUGAGCAACCAAACCGUUUUUGACCUGGCCUGGAGUGAGGAGAUUAAGCAGAUUCUGGUGGGCAGUCAUGACAAGAGUGCCAGUUUUCUGGGAUGGCAUUCCUAUUGGGUGGUCGUUCAAACGGAGUUAUAUUCUGGUAUCCAAGACAAGAUGCUUGGAUGCCCUGGAGGAGCAUGUGGCCAACAGCAGCUGUCACUACCCAGGAGCAGACAGAUGAGGAGGGGGAUGAAGAUAGAUCUUGGCGACCUCACAGACUCCCUCCAGGUCAGAUGAAGUCAACACCAGCGGAUCCCAAAUAUUUCCGUUCUGGAGACCACCAAAUCACUAUCAAAAGCUCUUGAUCUAAAAUAAAUAAACACUAAAACAUUUUGCAGACCAUCUGCACAGCGGACCACAGGUUGAAACCACUAGUCUACACGCACACACCCAGACCGGAACUCAAACCAACACAGAUUCCAACUUUUUCAGGGCUAGCCAAUCACAGAGUUCCAUUGUUACCUUAUUUUUAAUAUUCUACUCCAGAAAAGUGACAGUUGGUUUCAGUUAGCCCUGCUUGUGUGAACACAAGCUAAGCUAGCCCAGGCCCAUUCCGUCGUAUUGAUGCUUACACAAUUGUUUACAAGUGGGCUGUGUUCUUAUUGGCUCAUGCAUUCAUGGUGAAUGGGUUAUAGAAGCCCCUCCCCCUGUUGUGACUGGCCAGUAGCUGUGUGACAAGGGAGGGGUAGUAAACUGAGGGGCUGAUGGCUGUGUAUGUGUAGAAGGGAGGGUUUGUUUGUGCGUGUGCGCACCUGUCCUCGCGGCCGUGCCCUUGGGACAUCAGUAGAACAGAGUGGUAAUCACUAGCGAGCCUGUAGCAAGGACACAGCCGAGCAAGAUCCGCUUUUAUGCUGAGCUCUGCACUCUGCUUGCAGAUCAGUGCAGGCACACACACUCACACACGCUCUUGCUUAAGGGAAACGCUAGGCAUUUGGAGACGGAACUGUUGCACGUGCAUAUUAACACUCAAGCAGAGACACAUGCUUUCACACUCGCACGCACGUACGUACGUUCACAGAGGCAGCCACAAUUCUACCACCCAGCAGAGCAUCCCGAGGACAGGAGGAGGAAAAGUGACAGCAGCACCCUCUAUCCACUCAGGUACAGACAAACAUCCUCCCUUUGUUUUUCAUUGUCUUCUGAACUACUAUGGGUCUAUUUGCAUUAGGCUGCUCUUUAUAAACUGUGCUUGUUUCAUUCUGAGGCUAAGUACUUGAAGGUUGUUCAAGUGAGUGUUUCUUAAAUGUAUUUAUUUGACCUUUUAUUUAAACAGGGAUUCACCAUUUAGACCAGGGUAGGGUCUCUUUUGCAAUGUACGUAGAUCAUUAAAAACAGGCAUUUUACAUUCAGAACAAGUCAUCUUGACUGCUCUGAUGGUGAAGUGUGCCAUUGAGUGUGCAUGAAGAGGGUUUUGCAUAGUGUUCAGUGCAUUUACAACUUUUAUCUGGUAAUAUGCAUUUUAUGACAUUGGGUUUUAUUGCAGUGUACUCUGUCAUAUUGUUAGAGCAUUAUAAGAGGUACCUGACGAAGAGCUGAAACUGUUUUGAUAAAAAAAUGAAAGAGUUGUGAAUUUGUAGAGGAUUUAGCAAUACAUUUUACAUACAGUAAGGCCAUGCUGUGC